AUUAGCAGGACACUGUACAAUUUGAAUGCAUGCUGUUUGGUUCAGGUGUGUUGGACCAGGGACACCAGCCAUCAAGGACUGGAGUUCGGCAUCCCAUCUUCCCACCGAUUCAUACCAGUUCCUGAUCUAUACUAAGUAGAGACGAUGUCCUGUUCAGCAGUUCCUGGUGGAGAUAAAACCAGAGGCUGCAUGCUGUCACCUCACCAUCCCUGACCUGACCUCUGACUCUGACCACAGCAUGGACCUUCAUCAGAUUUCCUCUUCAGGAUGGAUUCAUAUGAUGCCGUCAGCAUAGUUGUUCUAGUCAACAAACAAAUUAAAACCUAAUAAUACAAUAUCGUAGAAAGGCUGUUGGGCAGAUGGACCUACUUGUGUCUCUAGAAGACUUGGUAGGAGUUCAUGGUCCAUAAGUGACUGCAGCAGAUCUGAGGUUCUGGCACAGUCUCCUUUUUCUGUGAGCCUUUAUUUUCCCGUUUUUCACCAGGAAGCUGACAAGAAAUGGGGGGAGAGAGGGAGAGGACAUGCAGCAAAGAUUUCCUGGGCCGAGAACCUGCAACGGGCACGUCGAGGCCUGAAGCCUCUAAAUACGGGUCAUGUGUUUUAUCCCUGCGCCACCUCCAUGCCCAACCUUUAACCUGCUAACUCAGGCCUGUAGAGUCUGAGACGAAGCUCUUAGGUUUUUGGACAUUUCUAUGAGCUUCACGCCUUGACGUUGGGCUGAAUCUGCUGGGACGUCACAUUAAAUACUAAGUUUUGAUGUUGUUAUUUAUCUUUUGUCCAACUAAAACUAUUGAUGAUGA
Molecule: long non-coding RNA, 800 nt
Organism: Girardinichthys multiradiatus
Lineage: Eukaryota; Metazoa; Chordata; Actinopteri; Cyprinodontiformes; Goodeidae
Exons: 4
Source: RefSeq, a predicted model, not a curated record